Long non-coding RNA from Nymphaea colorata (pocket water lily), 1196 nucleotides. RefSeq lists it as uncharacterized. The transcript has 3 exons. NCBI's taxonomy places the organism in Eukaryota, Viridiplantae, Streptophyta, Magnoliopsida, Nymphaeales, Nymphaeaceae. The record is from RefSeq and is a predicted model, not a curated record.
GAUGUGUCUUAUAACUUGAGAGCAGGUGUCUUUGCUCCAAAUCUGUCCCAUUUCCACUUGAAAUUGGAAUUUUUUUUUGUCAUCAUUUGUCUUUAAUGCCCGUCAUUUAGAGAUGAUGUCAUUUUUGAUCUCUAAUUUGGAGUAAACCUACAUUUGAAGACAAUCUGAGGCUUAUUAUUGGUAUAUCUUCGAGCCAUGAUCUUGUCCUUUAAAAAUUUUUAGACUUUCUUGACUCUCAAUUUUGUAGCCGAGGGUUACCUCUUAAUGUGCUUGGGCUUAGUAAUCGUGGUCUUGACUCUUGGAGUGACCACUUCUUGCUAUCUUACAAGGCCAGGACUACCACAGUUCGGACCUUCUGACCAUCAACAGUACAGGUUGCGUUGAGCAUGGCUUCUUGGCACCUUUUUCUGUUCUUCUUGCCCAUCUUCAAGUGCAUGAUCCUCUAAAUAGGUUAGCUCUACUUUGUUUAGAUGGCCUCUUCUUGGCACCUUUUUCUGUUCUUCUUGCCCAUCUUCAAGUGCAUGAUCCUCUAAAUAGUCUCUGCAGAUGGUGAGAAAUUCGUAGCCCAAGCCAACUAGUCCGUGUGUAUGUUUAUUGUGUGAGUAGAGAAGAAAGCACAAAGCACCACGCAAGUGAAAAGAAAAAGAGAGUGAAAGGUAAAAGAAAAUUGUGAAGGUUCUAAAGUUGCUGGGCGAUGUCGCUUAUCUAAUUUCAUCAGCAUCAGCAGCCAACCAGAUUAAGCCAAGGGAGAUGCAUCUCGGUUAUUGAACUCUUGAGUUCUUUCACAAGAUCGCGUAUUCAGCUGCCGCUCUAUGACCUAUGCACUAGAAUGUGUGAGACUUUCUAGUGCAAACUGGUCCUAACCCAAAGUAUGAUCCCGACUAACUUCGUUUUAGAGAAAAUGCCACAAAAGGUGCUUGACUACUAAUGGAAUGAUAAAAACAUGCUCAUCUACAAAAAGGAAAAGAAAAGAAAAAAACUGACUCUAUCUUUUGGCUUAGAUGGUUGGAGUGGAGAUUAGAAGGUCAGCCAGUUUUGGUCAUCAGCUUUCACUGAUUUGGGAGCAAUUUCCUAGAUUCCAUAUCAUUUAGCAAACCCCAUAAUUGGAUGUGCUUAGGAUGUUUCCUCUUGUCUGAUUUGCAGCUCCUUGUGUAAAUGUGUGAGCUGCUGUGUUUUGUCUGUGUAUAUAUUGUUCU